Molecule: ribosomal RNA, 461 nt
Filed under: Bacteroidetes bacterium oral taxon 365
Lineage: Bacteria; Pseudomonadati; Bacteroidota
Description: bacterial SSU rRNA
Rfam family: Bacterial small subunit ribosomal RNA
Source: RNAcentral
GAUGAACGCUAGCGGCAGGCCUAACACAUGCAAGUCGAGGGGCAACGAGAUGGUGCAAUACCAUUGUCGGCGACCGGCGAACGGGUGCGUAACGCGUGAACAACUUGCCGGACACAGGGGGAUAAUCGUCGGAAACGUCGUCUAAUAUCCCAUAACAUUGACAUGGGCAUCCAUGUUGAUUGAAAGCAAUUAUGCGGUGUCUGAUAGGUUCGCGUGACAUUAGCUAGUCGGUGGGGCAACGGCCCACCGAGGCGACGAUGUCUAGGGGUUCUGAGAGGAAGGCCCCCCACACUGGGACUGAGACACGGCCCAGACUCCUACGGGAGGCAGCAGUGAGGGAUAUUGGACAAUGGGCGGAAGCCUGAUCCAGCCAUGCCGCGUGAAGGACUAAGGCCCUAUGGGUCGUAAACUUCUUUUGACGCAGAGCAAUAAGGGACACGUGUGUUCCGAUGAGAGUAUGC